Molecule: ribosomal RNA, 245 nt
Filed under: uncultured bacterium
Lineage: Bacteria
Description: partial 16S ribosomal RNA
Rfam family: Bacterial small subunit ribosomal RNA
Source: RNAcentral
GGGCUAGCGUUGUUCGGAAUUACUGGGCGUAAAGCGCGCGUAGGCGGACCUGCAAGUCGGGGGUGAAAGCCCGAGGCUCAACCUCGGAACUGCCUUCGAUACUGCGGGUCUCGAGUCCGGGAGAGGUGAGUGGAAUUCCUAGUGUAGAGGUGAAAUUCGUAGAUAUUAGGAAGAACACCAGUGGCGAAGGCGGCUCACUGGCCCGGUACUGACGCUGAGGCGCGAAAGCGUGGGGAGCAAACAGG